UUCACAGUACGUGAACCGUUCAGGGGUAAACGGGAGAGAUCCGAAUAGGCGAAAGGGGGAGACUCAUUCUUGUCCACAGCCGGGCACCGAACGUUCUCUCGGGAUGUCUCCGGCCGCCGGUCGCGUCGCAAGGCGCGCUCCGUGUCGGUCCGGGUGCACCCGGUUAACCGGUGAUGAAUUAGUCCUUGGUGUGGCGAGGUGCACUUCUCCUCCGAGUAGGACGUCGCGACUCGUUGGGCACCGGUCUGCAAGGCCUCUGGGAAAUCGUCCUUAGUCGACCUCCGAAGCCGUUUUUGGCUCGGGUUGAAGGUCGGCGGGAACCCGUUCCGUGCCUGGCCGGAGCCCGACGGUAGAUUUUGGCGGAGAUGGCCCGCUCCUCUGCGAGUGAGCGUCCGGGCCGAGGGCAAGCUCUUCGGGUUAGCUAUCGGUGUGGCCGUGGCGAACGCCACGCCCCCGACCCUCGUCGGCUGUUGGUCCUCGGAUUUCCUCGGACGGUAGCCGUCUCCCGUCAGCGGCGCUUAAAGCUUCGGUCUCUUUCCCGACCCGUCUUGAAACACGGCAA
RNAcentral lists this ribosomal RNA (562 nucleotides) under Episymploce suknana. RNAcentral describes it as "eukaryotic LSU rRNA". Lineage: Eukaryota; Metazoa; Arthropoda; Insecta; Blattodea; Blattellidae. The record is from RNAcentral.